RNAcentral lists this long non-coding RNA (1372 nucleotides) under Salvia miltiorrhiza (redroot sage). RNAcentral describes it as "long non-coding RNA (SMIL_LNC007115)". Lineage: Eukaryota; Viridiplantae; Streptophyta; Magnoliopsida; Lamiales; Lamiaceae. The record is from RNAcentral.
UAAUAAUAGUGCUUACAACCUAAUAGCCUUUUGUUGAGAUAAGUCUUCGUGCUCUCCCAGAAAAAGGCUUUUGUUGAGAUAGCCUUUUGUUGAAUAAAUUAAUAAUAGCACUCUGCCAAACAGAAGCUCUGCUUCGUGCUUUCCAGUUUUGAGUCAAUUGCUUCGUGUUGCCAGAAAAAGGCUCCGCCUGCAACCCCCAUCUCCGGCGAAAUCGUCGCAGGCGUGUCGCCUCCGACCCUCGCCUCCCACCCCCUUUCUACUUCCCUCUCUUUCUUUCAAUUCUCUCUCACGCCAACGCCCUCUCUCUCCCUCUGUGUCUCCUCGUCGUAGCACAUGCAGCGGCUACCGCCUCCGCCUCCGCCACUUCUCCGUCCCGGCGUCGGCUCCUUCUCCUCCUGCCUUGACUCAAAACACCAAAACCCCCAAAAUUUCUCCAAUUUCAGAAAACCCUUCUCCCUAAAUCAAAUCCCUAAUUUUCUCCUUCUACCCUCGCCGUGAACAGCACCGCCCCUCUUCUCUCGGCGAAUGGCGAGAAUCGCCGGCGCCUUCUCCUCUCCUUCCCACGGCCGCCGCCUUCUUCCCUCUUCUCUCUUUUCCCACCUGCCAACUCCCGCUCCCUUCCCCCAAUUUCUUGGCCAACUACCCAUGGCAGAAUCACAGCUGGGCCGACCUCCCUUCCCCCAAACAGAUGUGCCUGUGUCGGCGGUUCUGCACGAUAUGAUCUUUUGCGUAGUUAACCGGUUAAUUCGGUUAACCGAUUAACCGGACCGGUUAAUCGGUUAACCGAACUGAAAACCGGUUCGGUUUCGGUUAUCAUUUUUAAUCUUAAUCGGUUCCGAUUAACCGGUAAAUCGGUUCGGUUUUAACCGAACCGACCGGUUUACCAGCCCUAGUUGAUGUUCUUUAUAUUUUGUUUUUCUUAUAUGCAGCCUUUAACAUGGUUGGUGUUGCCGUGUUGGUAUUGGAGAGACGACUUGGUGUUGCCGAUUCGGAAGCUGCAAAUUUAUAUUUUUAUGUUGUAUUUCAUUCAAGACUUGUUACUUUUUGAAUUUUUGAUGCCUUUAAACUCUUUGAAAGUGUAUUUUUAUGCUUUCGAUGUUUUGGAUAUCUAAGAUUUGUUAUAAUUGAUUUGGAGAAAGACUUUUGGUAAUGAAAUGAUUUGUAAUUUUAUUCAAUUUGUUGAAGUAUGUAUGAAACGAGCUCAAAGCUCGAGCUCGCCGAGUUUGAACGAGCUCAAGUUCAAUGAGCUUAAACGAGCUCAAGCUCGAGCUCAAACUCGAGUAAGACUCUACAGUCGAGCUUAACCGAGUCAAGCUCGAGCUCACGAAUAUGACAUCGAGUCGAGCUCGAGCUCAAAAAAAUCAAGCUCGGC